UUUUUUUUUUUUUUGUAGAGACAGAGUCUCACUUUAUGGCCCUCGGUAGAGUGCCGUGGCCUCAUACAGCUCACAGCAACCUCCAACUCCUGGGCUUAAGCUAUUCUCUUGCCUCAGCCUCCCGAGUGGCUGGGACUACAUAGACUUUAAUGUUUUUGAAGUUAGAAAAGAAUGAUCCUGAUGACGAGCCUGGAGACGGAGGGCUCAGGCAUGCCUGACCGGGAAGUGACCGCCCACCCGAGCUCGGAGGCAGUAACACCGGCGUCUGGAAAGUCGCCUCUUGCUGGCUUAGAAAGCCGUGAAUCACUCUGGUCGCUGGCCUGCUGGGGGAUUCCCACAUGGGUUCUUUCCUCCCAAAAAAGAAAGCAAAAGUCACCGAGGGCGGGGCUGAGAGGAUGUCCCCUGGUAGAAACAGGAAGAUCCCGGCCACCUCCCGCUUCCGGGGGACUGGGGCCGUAAAGGGCACCCAGGUUCGGGCUGGGAUGGGGACAGUGCGGUGACCGGAGGGAGUGGCACAGGGGGAGAGGCGUAGGCCUGAGCCGGGCUCAAAGCAGGUGCCGUCACCAGUGGCUUCCCUGAUUGGCACGGCCCGGCGCGGCCCGGCACGGCCAGCUGCUCCUUCUGCCAGCCUGACCUCAUCCUCUCACAUCCACCCUCUGUGCCCAGCACAGCCCUGGGGACACAUCUGAAUGCCAGUGACUGGUCAGGUCCCUCAGGUGUGGUUGUGCCACCAGCCCCCACACACCCACCUCACGCCUUUUGCUCAAUCUCAUUUAGACCUUGGGAUGACAGAGACCAGCUUGCACUUGGGGCCAGGAGUCUGAAGGCUGGCCUGGGCAGCCUCAGGACCCCAACAUGGGGUCCCCUGAGUACCAGGUGCUGUCCCCAGGGAAACAGCCAUCUCAGUCACCGUGCAUUUAUUCACCCCAAGAGCUUGUUCCCUAUUCUCUUCCUGACAUUUGAAGGUUGAUCCUGUGGUGCAGCUUUUGAAAGAAGCAACUUUCACUGUCAACUCUACUGUCAUUGGCAAAAGUGUUCUCAGAAAGGCCAGCUGCCACCUCUGGCUGGAAUUCCCUGCCGUGGCACCAGUGGGGUCUGUUCCUUGGCCUGUACACAGCCCACGGUGCACCAGGAGGGAGUGUAUCUGAAGUCCCUCCUCACUAGCUCCCUGGGGGCCCCCAAUGAAAGGAGAAAGGCUUGACGGGACCAGGAGGCAAGCCAGCCUCCUGACGUCAGUAGGGCAGGUCUCAUCCUGCACACAUACUGAACUGCUGAGUGGAAUAAGCAAAGUCCACAUCUUGGGUGGGCCCUGGCCGGCCCAGCCAGAGCCCUCUGUGACUGAGAGCCUGUGCUGUUACUCAGAAGGCCACAUCUGUGCAGGUAACAGAGAAGGAGGAGUUGAGAUCGGGGGAGAUGAGCUGUGUGGCUGGCGGUGGCUUGGCCGUGUGCUAUGGAGUUGGCAGAGAGGCCCAAGCACUCCAGGACUGGCCAAGAGUCUGUGUGAGGAGCAGCUUGGCCCCACGGCCCUGCCUCAGCCAGCAUCUCCAGAUGGUGCCUUGGACACUGAGGAACUGUGUCCUCAUGGUGCAGAAGAGUGGGAAGGGUGAAAGAGCCAAGACUGGGAUAGGGAAGCCCAAACUCCCUCUUCCGCGACCAGGCAGCUCCUGAGACACUGGCAUCCAUCUAUUCACUCCAUCCUUGUGACCUCACUUGGCACUUCCUCUCAGCACUGCUUUCGGGAUUAAGUUUCCAACAUGUUUUGUGGGGGACAACUUCAAAUCACAGCAGAGGAGGAAGUCAAUAGCACAAGAAAAUAUCUCCUAAACUGAAGGCUUUUACUCUCCAAAUUUAGAGGGCCAAAGGCACUAAGCAGUGGGUGGGACCAAGACACACCGUGUCUCUCACUGUGAAAUUGGGGAGCAGUUGGGCGGCGCCUGUGGCUCAAGGAGUAGGGCGCCAGUCUCAUAUGCCGGAGGUGGCGGGUUCAAACCCAGCCCCGGCCAAAAAGCCACAAAAAAAAAAAAAAAAGAAAGAAAUUGGGGAGCAGUAAGCAUAAAUAGAAAGUCCUGAAAAUGUCCAGAUGGGGGACAGGGCCCUACAGAGCACAUCACACAUAAUAGGUGGAUGGCCACCAACACAUGAGGUUUUCCACUGUACCACAGGAAGUGGAGCACAGGAGGACAUGCCCUGGAAACAACCAUCCAAGAAAAAAACAUUAACACCAGCACAUACUCUUUUUUUUUUCUUUUUUUUGAGACAGAGUCUCCCUCUGUCGCCCUGGGUAGAGUGCCGUAGCGUCACAGCUCACAGGAACUUCAAACUCCUGGGCUUAAGUGAUUCCUUGCCUCAGCCUCCCGAGUAGCUGGAACCAC
Molecule: long non-coding RNA, 2372 nt
Organism: Nycticebus coucang (slow loris)
Lineage: Eukaryota; Metazoa; Chordata; Mammalia; Primates; Lorisidae
Exons: 3
Source: RefSeq, a predicted model, not a curated record